CAAGUCGAGCGAAUGGAUUAAGAGCUUGCUCUUAUGAAGUUAGCGGCGGACGGGUGAGUAACACGUGGGUAACCUGCCCAUAAGACUGGGAUAACUCCGGGAAACCGGGGCUAAUACCGGAUAACAUUUUGAACCGCAUGGUUCGAAAUUGAAAGGCGGCUUCGGCUGUCACUUAUGGAUGGACCCGCGUCGCAUUAGCUAGUUGGUGAGGUAACGGCUCACCAAGGCAACGAUGCGUAGCCGACCUGAGAGGGUGAUCGGCCACACUGGGACUGAGACACGGCCCAGACUCCUACGGGAGGCAGCAGUAGGGAAUCUUCCGCAAUGGACGAAAGUCUGACGGAGCAACGCCGCGUGAGUGAUGAAGGCUUUCGGGUCGUAAAACUCUGUUGUUAGGGAAGAACAAGUGCUAGUUGAAUAAGCUGGCACCUUGACGGUACCUAACCAGAAAGCCACGGCUAACUACGUGCCAGCAGCCGCGGUAAUACGUAGGUGGCAAGCGUUAUCCGGAAUUAUUGGGCGUAAAGCGCGCGCAGGUGGUUUCUUAAGUCUGAUGUGAAAGCCCACGGCUCAACCGUGGAGGGUCAUUGGAAA
RNAcentral lists this ribosomal RNA (594 nucleotides) under Bacillus sp. CH406b_13C. RNAcentral describes it as "bacterial SSU rRNA". It matches the Rfam family "Bacterial small subunit ribosomal RNA", at positions 58 to 632 of the family's 1533-position model. The record is from RNAcentral. RNAcentral also lists the same sequence under 2 other names. Lineage: Bacteria; Bacillati; Bacillota; Bacilli; Caryophanales; Bacillaceae.